CCCAUGCAGGCUGGCUCCGGCUGAGGGAGGGAAGCCAGCAGGCCCAGCAGCAUUCUGGACGAGUUUCUGAAUUACUUACUGGCUGGAGACCAGAGGCCGGAGCGGACCCGGGCUGGCCCUGCUGGCUGGGGCCCGAGGAGCCUUUCUCCUGGCUCUGAGGCCCGACCACCUCUUGUUUGCUCUCUGCCUGCCUGCUCAGAACUGCAGGCUCCUCUAAUGGCAUGCUGCUAAGCCUGCAGAUUUACAGAUGGGAGCACAACCACAGACUCAGGGGACCCACAGUCUAGCAGGGGAGGGCCGUGUGUCACCAGCCAGUGGACAUACAAUGAUGAAUGGAUCGAGGACCCACUGUGGAACCAGGACUCAAGGAAAGAGAAGCCCAAGAGCCACCUCACGCUUCCCAAAAGGCCGAGGAGAUAGACGCGGCAGCCUCCCAGACAUGGCAGAGGGGAAGGCACCGCGUCCCACCCACGUUCAUGGUAUGGCUCUUGGAGGACAGCUGCUCGAGGGCAGCCCCCUCCCAGUCCAAGAGUCCAGCCUGUUCUCAUGGCAGGGCAGGACAGAAGCAAAUGACUCCACAUCGGGAAGAUGCUUGGUACUGCUGGGGGAGAUGUGGGCAGGGGUGCAGUUACCGAGAAGCGGAAGAGGCUGAGCCGAGGGACCCUGAGUCAAUGAGGCCAUCUACUAAGGCCCUGGGAGGUUUGGAUGCUUAUACCAUUCUCAGCUUUUAGAAACACUGCCAUUUGUUAUGUCAUCCUAAAAAACACCCAUUUUCUAUACCUAACCUUGUAUUUGUAAAUUUGUAUUUUUUAAAGAGAAUCUCUGAAUUGUAUAAACUUAGCCCCCACAGAACCUGCUUCCCAGGCACACUGGCCCCCAGUCCCCCAGUGUGAUCUGCAUCACUGAAGCCAGAUGCAUUGCUGCUUUUUACAGACACCUAAUAAAAACUUGAUU
Manis pentadactyla (Chinese pangolin) is the source of this 954-nucleotide long non-coding RNA. RefSeq lists it as uncharacterized. The record is from RefSeq and is a predicted model, not a curated record. NCBI's taxonomy places the organism in Eukaryota, Metazoa, Chordata, Mammalia, Pholidota, Manidae. The transcript has 3 exons.